GGAGUUAGCCGGUGCUUCUUCUGUGAGUGAUGUCCUUCCUGCCGGCUAUUAACCCGCAGGCCUUCUUCCUCACUGAAAGUGCUUUACAACCCGAAGGCCUUCUUCACACACGCGGCAUGGCUGGAUCAGGGUUGCCCCCAUUGUCCAAUAUUCCCCACUGCUGCCUCCCGUAGGAGUCUGGGCCGUGUCUCAGUCCCAGUGUGGCUGAUCAUCCUCUCAGACCAGCUACGGAUCGUCGCCUUGGUGAGCCGUUACCUCACCAACCAGCUAAUCCGACAUAGGCUCAUCCGAUAGCGCGAGGCCCGAAGGUCCCCCGCUUUCCCCCGUAGGGCGUAUGCGGUAUUAGCCUGGGUUUCCCCAGGUUAUCCCCCACUACCGGGCAGAUUCCUAUGCAUUACUCACCCGUCCGCCGCUCGCCACCAGGGAGCAAGCUCCCCGUGCUGCCGCUCGACUUGCAUGUGUAGCGUCGCCGCCACGCGUACAUCUGACGACGACGAACUACAACUACUCGA
Molecule: ribosomal RNA, 512 nt
Filed under: uncultured bacterium
Lineage: Bacteria
Description: partial 16S ribosomal RNA
Source: RNAcentral